Daphnia pulex (common water flea) is the source of this 83-nucleotide non-coding RNA. The record is from Rfam. NCBI's taxonomy places the organism in Eukaryota, Metazoa, Arthropoda, Branchiopoda, Diplostraca, Daphniidae.
GUCAGAAUGGCCGAGCGGUCUAAUGCGCUGCGUUCAGGUCGCAGUCCAGCACUCAGGCGAGGGUUCGAUUCCAUCUUCUGACA